UAAAACUAAAGAAGAAAUAGUCAUCAUGAUGGAGGAGGAGUUGGUAGUGCUACUCCCAGUGAGAGAGCCCCAGAGAACCUUGAUGAUGUUCAGGUGGGCAUAUUUAGAAAAUUUGCUUCCUGGUAAGUUACUUGAUGUGCUGGCUUGAAGGCAAAACCAGUGAGAGGCUCCAAGUCAGAAAAAACCAAUUUAAUAGGAGGGGAAAAAGAAGGUUUCCUAGUGAGUGGAUGGAAAGUGGAUGGCAGAGCCAAAGGACUGCAAAUUCAGAGCAGCCCCAUGGAUUUACAGAACUUGUCAAAGAAGUUGAACUAAAUUAUUUCAUGUGUUGUAAUAAAAAUUCAUCUGCUUCGAGGCUAACAAAACAGAGAAUAUUUGCUUACUCACAGGAAUUAAUUCUAUUGAGUUAGUGUAAAUGACACCUGAGGGGAAAGUUUUUAAUACUGUAGUAAAGAGGGUAAUCAGGAAGCAGCAAGUGAGGAAAGUUUGAGAAGUGUCAAAUUGCUCUAAAAAUGGCAUAACCUAUGGCCAGAAGACUGGUACCUCAGCGACAAAGCACAUUCAGAAUUGCUAGUUUCUAAAAGCUGAAACUCUUAUUGGCCAUGUGACCUGAAUUUAGACAAAAAUAUAACAAUGAUAACUCAGAACUGGUUAGAAAUAUUCAAUAAAUAUCUACAAAAACUAGUCUGUACUUAUCUUUGGUUCUCUGCUUGUUUACAUAAUGUAAGAAGUUCAGUGAAGCAUUUCGCUCUCCAUAAGUACCCUGUUCAUCCCUUGGCACUCUCUAGGGAACAGCAAGGGACUAAAAGAAUAUAAAUAAAAACUGGUUUUACUGCCCUUCAGUCCAAUUUCUCAUGGGCUCACACAGCAUUAUGUGCAUGGAGCCCUGUGCUUUAUUGAGUCUGUCUUCAAAUGGGUUUUGGAGCCCUGUCCCUUACAGGAGAGGUGCAGGUCAAAGGGUUCCUCAGUAGCAGCUGUUAAUAUUCUGUAUUCUCCAGAUCAAAAUAAUAUGUGAAAAUCCUUCUGGGAUCAUUGAUAAGUUUUCAAGAUCAUGACAAACUUUCCCAAAAUGAAAUAGAACAAGUUUGCAACAUUCAAAUAUGUUAAAGAGGCUGUUCUUAGUAGUUCUUGACCAGUGUGGCA
Molecule: long non-coding RNA, 1140 nt
Organism: Hirundo rustica (Barn swallow)
Lineage: Eukaryota; Metazoa; Chordata; Aves; Passeriformes; Hirundinidae
Exons: 4
Source: RefSeq, a predicted model, not a curated record